This 513-nucleotide ribosomal RNA is filed under the name uncultured bacterium. RNAcentral's name for it is "partial 16S ribosomal RNA". It matches the Rfam family "Bacterial small subunit ribosomal RNA", at positions 28 to 507 of the family's 1533-position model. The record is from RNAcentral.
GACGAACGCUGGCGGCGUGCUUAACACAUGCAAGUCGAACGAAAAGAGGGAAAGAGCUUGCUCUUUCCGGAAUUGAGUGGCAAACGGGUGAGUAACACGUAAACAACCUGCCUUCAGGAUGGGGACAACAGACGGAAACGACUGCUAAUACCGAAUAAGUUCCAAGAGCUGCAUGGCCCAUGGAAGAAAAGGUGGCCUCUACCUGUAAGCUAUCGCCUGAAGAGGGGUUUGCGUCUGAUUAGCUGGAUGGAGGGGUAACGGCCCACCAAGGCGACGAUCAGUAGCCGGUCUGAGAGGAUGAACGGCCACACUGGAACGGAGACACGGUCCAGACUCCUACGAGAGGCAGCAGUGGGGAAUCUUCCGCAAUGGGCGAAAGCCUGACGGGGCAACGCCGCGUGAGUGAUGACGGCCUUCGGGUUGUAAAACUCUGUGAUCCGGGACGAAAAGGCAGAGUGCGAAGAACAAACUGCAUUGACGGUACCGGAAAAGCAAGCCACGGCUAACUACGUG